CCAAAGGCUCUUUUCAGAGCCAUGCAUGUUUUCAACAAAUGAGGU
This is a non-coding RNA of Felis catus (domestic cat), 45 nucleotides long. The record is from Rfam. NCBI's taxonomy places the organism in Eukaryota, Metazoa, Chordata, Mammalia, Carnivora, Felidae.